RNAcentral lists this ribosomal RNA (771 nucleotides) under Triticum aestivum (bread wheat). RNAcentral describes it as "partial small subunit ribosomal RNA". Lineage: Eukaryota; Viridiplantae; Streptophyta; Magnoliopsida; Poales; Poaceae. The record is from RNAcentral.
AUGUGUGUCCAGAGGGGUAGAAACCCCCCAGGCAUCUUGGAUGGGCUCUACGGCAUACAGAUUGCUCGUCGACCGCCGCAGACACAGUGCGAAGGUGAAGCCGUCCGGACCACCUUCACCGAUUCGCCAACUUGUGAACACCAAAACGGCGGUGGAGCAGUCGCGCAACGACAUCAAAGACUGCAGAUACGACGACUGUGGCAGCAAAGGCCCUCAUGCUUGAAGCCUAUCCACUGUAGCAUUACAUGUGACAAGCAUGCUGGUGAAACUUUUGCAAACGUUGUCACCUCUCUGCCCUUCAUCAUCCUUGGACUGCAUACACCAAGGAAGAACUUGAACGCUGCCAUCUACGCUAACUCGCUGGUUGGAGUAGGAAUAGCUUCAGGCCUGUAUCAUUCCUCCAGAGGAGAAAUCAGGAAAAUCCUGCGAUGGGCCGACUAUACUAUGAUCGCCACCACUACGUUGUGUUUAUCCAGGGCAGUCAGGAAUGAGAACCCAGGACUACUGAUGGCAGCAUCAACAUUGCUGCUGCCGUUUCAGCCUUUCAUGGUUUCAGCUGUCCACACCGGGAUGAUGGAGGUUUCCUUCGCAAAGAGAGCAUCAGUUGAACCAGAGCUCAGAACGGUACAUAACCUGCACAAGAUGUCAUCUCUUUUGGGAGGUGCGCUGUUUAUUGCCGACGAUUACUUCCCAGAGACACCCUAUAUCCAUGCUGCAUGGCAUCUUGCUGCUGCUAUUGGCAUUGGCACAUGCAAUAAGCUUCUCGGGUGA